AUUGAACGCUGGCGGCAGGCCUAACACAUGCAAGUCGAACGGUAACAGGGAUCAGCUUGCUGAUUCGCUGACGAGUGGCGGACGGGUGAGUAAUGUCUGGGAAACUGCCUGAUGGAGAGGGAUAACUACUGGAAACGGUAGCUAAUACCGCAUAACGUCGCAAGACCAAAGAGGGGGACCUUCGGGCCUCUUGCCAUCGGAUGUGCCCAGAUGGGAUUAGCUAGUAGGUGGGGUAACGGCUCACCUAGGCGACGAUCCCUAGCUGGUCUGAGAGGAUGACCAGCCACACUGGAACUGAGACACGGUCCAGACUCCUACGGGAGGCAGCAGUGGGGAAUAUUGCACAAUGGGCGCAAGCCUGAUGCAGCCAUGCCGCGUGUAUGAAGAAGGCCUUCGGGUUGUAAAGUACUUUCAGCGGGGAGGAAGGGAGUAAAGUUAAUACCUUUGCUCAUUGACGUUACCCGCAGAAGAAGCACCGGCUAACUCCGUG
Molecule: ribosomal RNA, 490 nt
Filed under: uncultured bacterium
Lineage: Bacteria
Description: partial 16S ribosomal RNA
Rfam family: Bacterial small subunit ribosomal RNA
Source: RNAcentral